This 112-nucleotide ribosomal RNA is filed under the name Staphylococcus sp. HMSC069E10. Its description in RNAcentral is "partial 16S ribosomal RNA". It matches the Rfam family "Bacterial small subunit ribosomal RNA", at positions 1 to 106 of the family's 1533-position model. Lineage: Bacteria; Bacillati; Bacillota; Bacilli; Caryophanales; Staphylococcaceae. RNAcentral also lists the same sequence under 7 other names. The record is from RNAcentral.
UUUUAUGGAGAGUUUGAUCCUGGCUCAGGAUGAACGCUGGCGGCGUGCCUAAUACAUGCAAGUCGAGCGAACAGACGAGGAGCUUGCUCCUUUGACGUUAGCGGCGGACGGG